AUUGAACGCUGGCGGCAGGCCUAACACAUGCAAGUCGAGCGAGCGGCGGACGGGUGAGUAAUGUAUGGGGACUGCCCGAUGGAGGGGGAUAACUACUGGAAACGGUGGCUAAUACCGCAUACUAUCGGAUAACCCAUAUGGGAUUAGCUAGUAGGUGGGGUAAAGGCUCACCUAGGCGACGAUCUCUAGCUGGUCUGAGAGGAUGAUCUGCACCACUGGGACUGGGCCCGGGCCCAGACUCCUCCGGAGCCAGAAUUGGGGAAUAUUGCACAAGGGGCGCAAGCCUGAUGCAGCCAUGCCGCGUGUAUGAAGAAGGCCUUAGGGUUGUAAAGUACUUUCAGCGGGGAGGCGUUACCCGCAGAAGAAGCACCGGCUAACUCCGUGCCAGCAGCCGCGGUAAUAC
Molecule: ribosomal RNA, 403 nt
Filed under: uncultured bacterium
Lineage: Bacteria
Description: partial 16S ribosomal RNA
Rfam family: Bacterial small subunit ribosomal RNA
Source: RNAcentral